This 1026-nucleotide ribosomal RNA is filed under the name Marcia hiantina. RNAcentral describes it as "12S ribosomal RNA". Lineage: Eukaryota; Metazoa; Mollusca; Bivalvia; Venerida; Veneridae. The record is from RNAcentral.
GUUUGAAGUAGGUGUUUCAUAAUAAUGGUAUUAAAAACUAUUGUACUGCCCAUGAUACUGUAUUGGUUAUCCCUUUAAUUGCACAUGGUAUUUAAGUGAAAAUUGAGAGGUCUACUAUAAAUAAUAUGAGGAAUAACGAAGUAAAUUAUUACAAUAAAUUUAAAAAUAUUUUUCUUUAAUAAUCUUUAAUAGAGUUAUGUAGUUUUACGUGUUCGUUAGGGUUUCUAUAAUGAGCGCAUUUAUAGGUCUCAACACCAGUGCGGAGUAUUAAUAUAUUAUAGAAAUAUAGAAUAAGUAAUAGGGAAAGAGAGCUGAUAAAUAAAGUGCCAGCAUUCGCGGUCAGUCUUUUUGUCUCCAAUCAAUAAGUUUCAUAUAUUAGUAACAUAAUAAUAAAAACAGGUAUUUUCUAUGAGUAACGGUAAAAUGUAACUGUUAAUAAAAGUGAGUAAAUCUCGUUAUAUUAUAAGUAUAAGAAUUAAGAUAGUUUUAAAAAUAAAAUCUAUUAAGGCUGCCUAGUAGAGACAGGGAUUUGUACCCCAGUAUUUAAGCUUUCUUUUAUUAUAUGGGUACUACGAGCAAACUUGCUUAAAAACCAAAGAGGUUGGCGGUGUUUCAAAUCCGGUUAGGGGAACUUGGCGAUUAAUUCGAUGAUCCUCGAGCAUUUCACCUUUAGUAUUCUUUGCAUACCGCCGUUGAGACAAGCUUUAGGGGGUAAAGAACUUUAACUUAAUAUAUGUGGUUAAUUGUUUAUAAAUAAGUCAAAAUUUUGAGAAUUAACACCUAUAAAAAUUCAGGUAAACGUGUAGGUUCUAAAGGGUUUAGCUGAGUUACAUUAUUUCAGAUUUAGCGGAUAGGUGUAGUAAUAAUGCCAUUGAAGUUGUACUUGUUAGUAAAAUUUUCAAUAGAGGAAAUUAGAAUAGAGUUAUGAGACGCGUACAAAUCGCCCGGCGCCCUCGAAUAGUUAAGUUGAGGUAAGUCGUAACAUAGUAAUGCUAGUAGAAACUGGUGUUAAGUAAUUUAUUUUAA